Ochotona princeps (American pika) is the source of this 102-nucleotide small nuclear RNA. The record is from Ensembl. Lineage: Eukaryota; Metazoa; Chordata; Mammalia; Lagomorpha; Ochotonidae.
GUCCUUGCUUCCAUAGCACAAAUACUACAAUUGGAAAAAUUCAAAGAUUAGCUUGGCUUCUGGGCAAGGAAGACACAAAUUUAUGGAAUGUUCAAUAUUUUA